UACGGAAGGCAGCAGUGGGGAAUAUUGCACAAUGGGCGAAAGCCUGAUGCAGCUAUGCCGCGUGUAUGAAGAAGGCCUUAGGGUUGUAAAGUACUUUCAUCGGGGAGGAAAAACAAAACUAAUAAUUUUAUUUCUUGACGUUACCCGAAAAAGAAGCACCGGCUAACUCCGUGCCAGCAGCCGCGGUAAUACGGAGGGUGCUAGCGUUAAUCAGAAUUACUGGGCGUAAAGAGCACGUAGGUGGUUUUUUUAAGUCAGAUGUGAAAUCCCUGGGCUUAACCUAGGAACUGCAUUUUGAAACUGAAAUACUAGAGUAUCGUAUAGGGAGGUAGAAUUCUAGGUGUAGCGGUGAAAUGCGUAGAUAUCUGGAGGAAUACCUGUGGCGAAAGCGGCCUCCUAAACGAAUACUGACACUGAGGUGCGAAAGCGUGGGGAGCAAACAGGGAUUAGAUACC
Molecule: ribosomal RNA, 455 nt
Filed under: uncultured bacterium
Lineage: Bacteria
Description: bacterial SSU rRNA
Rfam family: Bacterial small subunit ribosomal RNA
Source: RNAcentral